AUGAUUUAAGUUUUCAAUUCACGUUCUAUUUUAAAAAUCUGCACACACUGUUUCAAAUAUCAAGCAUUUUCAUUGGCUGUUAGUUAAUUGGGAGAAGCGUACCUUCACAUUGAAUUUGGAUAAUCCAAAAACGGUGCACCAGUUACAUGCUGAUACAUCUAUCUCAUCCGAAGCAGCUCAAUGCAUUUAUCUUGGAGGUGCAGCUUUGCAAUUGGGUUAUUCUUCACCCGCUGCCACGUCCACGGGAAGAAGAAUUCCAAAGAAUUUUUAUUUUUUUUUUAUUUUUUUUUUAAAUUAGCAACUUAAUUUUUAAUUGAUGCAUUUUAUUUAUUUAUUUAUUUUUUUGUCUGUUUCAUUUUUACAUUUGAAUGUUUUAGUGUUGCAUUUUAAUAGUUUUAACUGUGCUUAGAUAUUUGUUUGUUCUAGUAUUGGGUUUAGCAUUUUC
RNAcentral lists this long non-coding RNA (445 nucleotides) under Vigna radiata. Its description in RNAcentral is "long non-coding RNA (VRAD_LNC017211)". Lineage: Eukaryota; Viridiplantae; Streptophyta; Magnoliopsida; Fabales; Fabaceae. The record is from RNAcentral.